GAUGAACGCUGGCGGCGUGCCUAAUACAUGCAAGUCGAGCGAACGGACGAGAAGCUUGCUUCUCUGAUGUUAGCGGCGGACGGGUGAGUAACACGUGGAUAACCUACCUAUAAGACUGGGAUAACUUCGGGAAACCGGAGCUAAUACCGGAUAAUAUUUUGAACCGCAUGGUUCAAAAGUGAAAGACGGUCUUGCUGUCACUUAUAGAUGGAUCCGCGCUGCACUAGCUAGUUGGUAAGGUAACGGCUUACCAAGGCAACGAUGCAUAGCCGACCUGAGAGGGUGAUCGGCCACACUGGAACUGAGACACGGUCCAGACUCCUACGGGAGGCAGCAGUAGGGAAUCUUCCGCAAUGGGCGAAAGCCUGACGGAGCAACGCCGCGUGAGUGAUGAAGGUCUUCGGAUCGUAAAACUCUGUUAUUAGGGAAGAACAUAUGUGUAAGUAACUGUGCACAUCUUGACGGUACCUAAUCAGAAAGCCACGGCUAACUACGUGCCAGCAGCCGCGGUAAUACGUAGGUGGCAAGCGUUAUCCGGAAUUAUUGGGCGUAAAGCGCGCGUAGGCGGUUUUUUAAGUCUGAUGUGAAAGCCCACGGCUCAACCGUGGAGGGUCAUUGGAAACUGGAAAACUUGAGUGCAGAAGAGGAAAGUGGAAUUCCAUGUGUAGCGGUGAAAUGCGCAGAGAUAUGGAGGAACACCAGUGGCGAAGGCGACUUUCUGGUCUGUAACUGACGCUGAUGUGCGAAAGCGUGGGGAUCAAACAGGAUUAGAUACCCUGGUAGUCCACGCCGUAAACGAUGAGUGCUAAGUGUUAGGGGGUUUCCGCCCCUUAGUGCUGCAGCUAACGCAUUAAGCACUCCGCCUGGGGAGUACGACCGCAAGGUUGAAACUCAAAGGAAUUGACGGGGACCCGCACAAGCGGUGGGGCAUGUGGUUUAAUUCGAAGCAACGCGAAGAACCUUACCAAAUCUUGACAUCCUUUGACAACUCUAGAGAUAGAGCCUUCCCCUUCGGGGGACAAAGUGACAGGUGGUGCAUGGUUGUCGUCAGCUCGUGUCGUGAGAUGUUGGGUUAAGUCCCGCAACGAGCGCAACCCUUAAGCUUAGUUGCCAUCAUUAAGUUGGGCACUCUAAGUUGACUGCCGGUGACAAACCGGAGGAAGGUGGGGAUGACGUCAAAUCAUCAUGCCCCUUAUGAUUUGGGCUACACACGUGCUACAAUGGACAAUACAAAGGGCAGCGAAACCGCGAGGUCAAGCAAAUCCCAUAAAGUUGUUCUCAGUUCGGAUUGUAGUCUGCAACUCGACUACAUGAAGCUGGAAUCGCUAGUAAUCGUAGAUCAGCAUGCUACGGUGAAUACGUUCCCGGGUCU
This 1372-nucleotide ribosomal RNA is filed under the name uncultured bacterium. RNAcentral's name for it is "bacterial SSU rRNA". It matches the Rfam family "Bacterial small subunit ribosomal RNA", at positions 28 to 1381 of the family's 1533-position model. The record is from RNAcentral.